UGGNCAGUAACUGACGCUGAGGAGCGAAAGCAUGGGGAGCGAACAGGAUUAGAUACCCUGGUAGUCCAUGCUGUAAACGGUGGGCGUUAGGUGUGGGGACCGGUUUGGUUUCUGUGCCGUAGCUAACGCAUUAAGCGCCACGCCUGGGGAGUACGGCCGCAAGGCUAAAACUCAAAGGAAUUGACGGGGGCCCGCACAAGCGGCGGAGCAUGUGGAUUAAUUCGAUGCAACGCGAAGAACCUUACCUGGGUUUGACAUGCACCAGACGGUUGUAGAGAUACGUACCUCCCUUUGUGGUUGGUGUGCAGGUGGUGCAUGGUUGUCGUCAGCUCGUGUCGUGAGAUGUUGGGUUAAGUCCCGCAACGAGCGCAACCCUUGUCUUAUGUUGCCAGCACUUUGGGUGGGGACUCAUGAGAGACUGCCGGGGUUAACUCGGAGGAAGGUGGGGAUGACGUCAAAUCAUCAUGCCCUUUAUGCCCAGGGCUUCACACAUGCUACAAUGGUUAGUACAACGCGCUGCGAGCCUGUGAGGGUGAGCGAAUCGCUGAAAGCUAAUCUCAGUUCGGAUUGGGGUCUGCAACUCGACCCCAUGAAGUCGGAGUCGCUAGUAAUCGCAGAUCAGCAAUGCUGCGGUGAAUACGUUCCCGGGCCUUGUACACACCGCCCGUCACGUCAUGAAAGUUGGUAACACCCGAAGCCCAU
Molecule: ribosomal RNA, 702 nt
Filed under: uncultured bacterium
Lineage: Bacteria
Description: bacterial SSU rRNA
Rfam family: Bacterial small subunit ribosomal RNA
Source: RNAcentral